This 253-nucleotide ribosomal RNA is filed under the name uncultured bacterium. RNAcentral's name for it is "partial 16S ribosomal RNA". It matches the Rfam family "Bacterial small subunit ribosomal RNA", at positions 524 to 776 of the family's 1533-position model. The record is from RNAcentral.
UACGUAGGGGGCAAGCGUUAUCCGGAUUUACUGGGUGUAAAGGGGGCGCAGACGGCGCGGCAAGUCCGGAGUGAAAUCCCAGGGCCCAACCCUGGGGCUGCUCUGGAAACUGCCGGGCUGGAGUGCUGGAGGGGCAGGCGGAAUUCCUAGUGUAGCGGUGAAAUGCGUAGAUAUUAGGAGAAACACCAGUGGCGAAGGCGGCUUACUGGACUGCAACUGACGUUGAGGCCCGAAAGCGUGGGGAGCAAACAGG